UACGUAGGGUGCAAGCGUUGUCCGGAUUCAUUGGGCGUAAAGGGCUAGUAGGCGGCUUAGCAAGUCGGGUGUGAAAUUUCCAGGCUUAACCUGGAACCGCCAUCCGAUACUGCUAUGGCUAGAGUCCGGUAGGGGACCACGGAAUACCUGGUGUAGCGGUGAAAUGCGUAGAUAUCUGGAGGAACACCGGUGGCGAAGGCGGCAUCCUGGACCGGCAUUGACGCUGAGGCGCGAAAGCUAGGGGAGCAAACGGG
This 254-nucleotide ribosomal RNA is filed under the name uncultured bacterium. RNAcentral's name for it is "partial 16S ribosomal RNA". It matches the Rfam family "Bacterial small subunit ribosomal RNA", at positions 524 to 776 of the family's 1533-position model. The record is from RNAcentral.